GGCCUUUGGGCUGUAAACCUCUUUUCUCAAGGAAGAAGAUCUGACGGUACUUGAGGAAUAAGCCACGGCUAAUUCCGUGCCAGCAGCCGCGGUAAUACGGGAGUGGCAAGCGUUAUCCGGAAUUAUUGGGCGUAAAGCGUCCGCAGGUGGCCUAGCAAGUCCGUUGUUAAAUCGUGGGGCUUAACCCCAUCAUGAUGGUGGAAACUGCUGGGCUUGAGUGUGGUAGGGGCAGAGGGAAUUCCCGGUGUAGCGGUGAAAUGCGUAGAUAUCGGGAAGAACACCAGUGGCGAAGGCGCUCUGCUGGGCCAUCACUGACACUCAUGGACGAAAGCCAGGGGAGCGAAAGGGAUUAGAUACCCCUGUAGUCA
RNAcentral lists this ribosomal RNA (368 nucleotides) under uncultured cyanobacterium. RNAcentral describes it as "bacterial SSU rRNA". It matches the Rfam family "Bacterial small subunit ribosomal RNA", at positions 413 to 796 of the family's 1533-position model. Lineage: Bacteria; Bacillati; Cyanobacteriota. The record is from RNAcentral.